This 253-nucleotide ribosomal RNA is filed under the name uncultured bacterium. RNAcentral describes it as "partial 16S ribosomal RNA". It matches the Rfam family "Bacterial small subunit ribosomal RNA", at positions 524 to 776 of the family's 1533-position model. The record is from RNAcentral.
UACAGAGGUGGCAAGCGUUGUUCGGAAUUACUGGGCGUAAAGGGCGAGUAGGUGGCCAUCUAAGUCAGACGUGAAAUCCCCCGGCUUAACCUGGGAACUGCGUCUGAUACUGGACGGCUAGAGUUUGGGAGAGGGAUGCAGAAUUCCAGGUGUAGCGGUGAAAUGCGUAGAUAUCUGGAGGAACACCGGUGGCGAAGGCGGCUUCCUGGACCGACACUGACGCUGAGGCGCGAAAGCCAGGGGAGCAAACGGG